RNAcentral lists this ribosomal RNA (443 nucleotides) under uncultured bacterium. RNAcentral describes it as "partial 16S ribosomal RNA". It matches the Rfam family "Bacterial small subunit ribosomal RNA", at positions 338 to 795 of the family's 1533-position model. The record is from RNAcentral.
CCUACGGGAGACAGCAGUGGGGAAUAUUGGGCAAUGGGCGCAAGCCUGACCCAGCAACGCCGCGUGAAGGAAGAAGGCCCUCGGGUUGUAAACUUCUUUUGUCAGGGACGAAGAAAGUGACGGUACCUGACGAAUAAGCCACGGCUAACUACGUGCCAGCAGCCGCGGUAAUACGUAGGUGGCAAGCGUUAUCCGGAUUUACUGGGUGUAAAGGGCGUGUAGGCGGGACUGCAAGUCAGAUGUGAAAUUCCAGGGCUCAACCCUGGAACUGCAUUUGAAACUGUAGUUCUUGAGUAUCGGAGAGGCAGGCGGAAUUCCUAGUGUAGCGGUGAAAUGCGUAGAUAUUAGGAGGAACACCAGUGGCGAAGGCGGCCUGCUGGACGACAACUGACGGUGAGGCGCGAAAGCGUGGGGAGCAAACAGGAUUAGAUACCCUUGUAGUC